Molecule: long non-coding RNA, 289 nt
Filed under: Hordeum vulgare
Lineage: Eukaryota; Viridiplantae; Streptophyta; Magnoliopsida; Poales; Poaceae
Description: long non-coding RNA (HVUL_LNC009967)
Source: RNAcentral
GAAUGAGAGGAGGAUGCCAUGGCCAUCGGCACCGGAGCCGGCACCCGAAACCCUAGGGGGAGGGUCGUGGGUGGUCUUGGGUGGCCGCAAGCACCGGAUUGAGUCGGAUGGUAGGGCGUCGUGGUUUGAUGGGGACCUCGAGGUUGGGGGAUGCGGUGGAUCCGGCAGCCGCCAGAGCUGCGAGGUGGGAGGAGGGGAGGGGGAGAUCCGGCGGCGAGGUGGGAGGAGGGGAGGGGGAGAUCCGGUGGCGAGGUGGAGGAAGAGGUGGUGGUGAUCUGGCAGAGAAGAG